UACGAAGGGGGCUAGCGUUGCUCGGAAUCACUGGGCGUAAAGCGCACGUAGGCGGAUUGCUAAGUCAGGGGUGAAAUCCUGGAGCUCAACUCCAGAACUGCCUUUGAUACUGGCGACCUUGAGUCCGGGAGAGGUGAGUGGAACUGCGAGUGUAGAGGUGAAAUUCGUAGAUAUUCGCAAGAACACCAGUGGCGAAGGCGGCUCACUGGCCCGGUACUGACGCUGAGGUGCGAAAGCUAGGGUAGCAAACGGG
RNAcentral lists this ribosomal RNA (253 nucleotides) under uncultured bacterium. RNAcentral's name for it is "partial 16S ribosomal RNA". It matches the Rfam family "Bacterial small subunit ribosomal RNA", at positions 524 to 776 of the family's 1533-position model. The record is from RNAcentral.